Phrynosoma platyrhinos (Desert horned lizard) is the source of this 72-nucleotide non-coding RNA. Lineage: Eukaryota; Metazoa; Chordata; Lepidosauria; Squamata; Phrynosomatidae. The record is from the annotation of a GenBank genome assembly.
AGCCACUUGGUGUAGUGGUUUGGGUUUUGGACUAGCACUCCAGAGUCCAGGGUUCAAAUCCCUACUUGGCCA